UACGUAGGGGGCAAGCGUUGUCCGGAUUUAUUGGGCGUAAAGAGCUCGUAGGUGGUUCGGUAAGUCGGAUGUGAAAUCUCCAGGCUCAACCUGGAGGGGUCAUUCGAUACUGCCGUGACUAGAGGUCGGUAGGGGAGUGUGGAAUUCCUGGUGUAGCGGUGAAAUGCGUAGAUAUCAGGAGGAACACCUGUGGUGUAGACAGCUUACUGGACCACUUCUGACGCUGAGACACGAAAGCGUGGGUAGCAAACAGG
RNAcentral lists this ribosomal RNA (254 nucleotides) under uncultured bacterium. RNAcentral describes it as "partial 16S ribosomal RNA". It matches the Rfam family "Bacterial small subunit ribosomal RNA", at positions 524 to 776 of the family's 1533-position model. The record is from RNAcentral.